This 443-nucleotide ribosomal RNA is filed under the name uncultured bacterium. RNAcentral describes it as "partial 16S ribosomal RNA". It matches the Rfam family "Bacterial small subunit ribosomal RNA", at positions 338 to 795 of the family's 1533-position model. The record is from RNAcentral.
CCUACGGGGGGCAGCAGUGGGGAAUAUUGGGCAAUGGGCGCAAGCCUGACCCAGCAACGCCGCGUGAAGGAAGAAGGCUUUCGGGUUGUAAACUUCUUUUCUGAGGGACGAAGAAAGUGACGGUACCUCAGGAAUAAGCCACGGCUAACUACGUGCCAGCAGCCGCGGUAAUACGUAGGUGGCAAGCGUUAUCCGGAUUUAUUGGGUGUAAAGGUCGUGUAGGCGGGAAAGCAAGUCAGAUGUAAAAACUCAGGGCUCAACCCUGAGACUGCAUUUGAAACUGUUUUUCUUGAGUGCUGGAGAGGCAAUGGGAAUUCAGGGGGUAGCGGGGAAAUGCGUAGAUAUACGGAGGAACACUAGUGGCGAAGGCGGAUUGCUGGACAGUAACUGACGCUGAGGCGCGAAAGCGGGGGGAGCAAACAGGAUUAGAUACCCGUGUAGUC